This 434-nucleotide ribosomal RNA is filed under the name uncultured bacterium. Its description in RNAcentral is "partial 16S ribosomal RNA". It matches the Rfam family "Bacterial small subunit ribosomal RNA", at positions 29 to 507 of the family's 1533-position model. The record is from RNAcentral.
AGCGAACGCUGGCGGCAGGCCUAACACAUGCAAGUCGAACGAACCUUUCGGGGUUAGUGGCGGACGGGGGAGUAACACGUGGGAACGUGCCUUUAGGUUCGGAAUAACUCAGGGAAACUUGUGCUAAUACCGAAUGUGCCCUUCGGGGGAAAGAGUUGUCGCCGUUAGAGCGGCCUGCGUCUGAUUAGCUAGUUGGUUGAGGUAAUGGCGCCCCAAGGCGACGAGCAGUAGCUGGUCUGAGAGGCUGAUCCGGCACUUUGGGACUGAGACACGGCCCAAACUCCUACGCGAGGCAGCAGUGGGGAAUCUUGCGCAAUGGGCUGAAGCCUGACGCUGCCAUGACGCGUGAAUGAUGAAGGUCUUAGGAUUGUAAAAUUCUUUCAUCGGGGACGAUAAUGACGGUACCCGGAGAAGAAGCCCCAGCUAACUUCGUG